RNAcentral lists this long non-coding RNA (361 nucleotides) under Lathyrus oleraceus (garden pea). RNAcentral describes it as "Pisum sativum (pea) long non-coding RNA (PSAT_LNC010926)". Lineage: Eukaryota; Viridiplantae; Streptophyta; Magnoliopsida; Fabales; Fabaceae. The record is from RNAcentral.
AACCAAAUUCAAAUCAAAUCAAGUUUCAACCAAAUUCUCAUUCAUUCAUUAAUAUCAUACAUUCAAAAAUCAUAUUCAACCAUGCAUUCAUAUCUAGGCCAUUACAUAACCAUGAACCAAAUUGCAACAUACAUAUUUCCAUAAACCAUGACAUUGCACAACCAUUACAACAUGUCCAAACUCAUUUUCAUACAUACGUUCGAUUAAUCAUUUAACUCCAAAACAAUUAUCCAAAGACAUAUCCAAAUCCAAGAAAUCCUAAGCCAUCCAAAUAGAAGUCAUUUCUAAUUAACAUUGCUACCAUUCAAAUUACCAAGUUUUAGUAAGACAUUCACAUGAACACCAAAAUUCUGCAUGAUAC